UGGGGAAUUUUGGACAAUGGGCGAAAGCCUGAUCCAGCAAUGCCGCGUGUGUGAAGAAGGCCUUCGGGUUGUAAAGCACUUUUGUCCGGAAAGAAAUCCUUGGCUCUAAUACAGUCGGGGGAUGACGGUACCGGAAGAAUAAGCACCGGCUAACUACGUGCCAGCAGCCGCGGUAAUACGUAGGGUGCAAGCGUUAAUCGGAAUUACUAGGCGUAAAGCGUGCGCAGGCGGUUUGCUAAGACCGAUGUGAAAUCCCCGGGCUCAACCUGGGAACUGCAUUGGUGACUGGCAGGCUAGAGUAUGGCAGAGGGGGGUAGAAUUCCACGUGUAGCAGUGAAAUGCGUAGAGAUGUGGAGGAAUACCGAUGGCGAAGGCAGCCCCCUGGGCCAAUACUGACGCUCAUGCACGAAAGCGUGGGGAGCAAACAGGAUUAGAUACCCUGGUAGUCCACGCCCUAAACGAUGUCAACUAGUUGUUGGGGAUUCAUUUCCUUAGUAACGUAGCUAACGCGUGAAGUUGACCGCCUGGGGAGUACGGUCGCAAGAUUAAAACUUAAAGGAAUUGACGGGGUCAUAGCUGUUUCCU
RNAcentral lists this ribosomal RNA (585 nucleotides) under uncultured bacterium. RNAcentral's name for it is "partial 16S ribosomal RNA". It matches the Rfam family "Bacterial small subunit ribosomal RNA", at positions 355 to 1375 of the family's 1533-position model. The record is from RNAcentral.